CCUCCACCUUGGUGUCGCGGUCCAUGGAGGAGAGUAGCCCGACCCGGAUGUUCUGUUCCGGGUUAAGAUGUUAUACGGAAUCCACGCUGCCUCUGAGGUUUCGUUAUGGGAAUUAGGGAGAGGGACAGUGAAUCGGGCGCAAGGAGGAGAUGAUACGGUGAGGCCGAAAAAGGGUGGCUGAGGUGCGCUGGACGGCUACUGAUUUGGAGACCAGGCCUUCCUUCCCUUGUUUCUUUGCUGCCCCUUUUUCAACCUUGCCGAAGCAAUUUUCUUCCUCCUCCCUUGGCCAAGCUCUCUGUUUCCUAGCUCUGUCCGCCGCCCCUUAUUCUCUCAAAACCCUCCAGCCCAAGACUUUCUCUCUCUCCCCAGCCAAAUGAAGCUCCCUUGUUUUUUCUUUGUUUUCUGAUUUUUUUCCCGUCACCUCUGUUCCUUAGCCGAAGACUUUUUCUCUGUUUCUUCUUUAGCUUCUUCCUAGCCCUCCUCCUAUUUUUGCUCUUCAUCUGCAAAACCCCUCAGCCCCCUUUCUCCCUCUGCCUUUUUCUUCUUCGCCCGAAGCUUUUCUAUUUUCUUGCUCUCAGUUCUGACUCUCAGCCGCCAAGCUUCCCCGUUUUCCAGUUUUCUUUUUUCCUUUUUUGUUGUCCGGCCAAGCUUCUCCUCAGACGAAACCCUUUUCUGUUUUUUUUUUUUUUUUUUUAGCCCUCACAAAAUUCUACUUUGACCCCCAAAAAUUUCUUAACUUCCCAAAUGUCCCUAACACCUCACCCCUUAGGUGCUUAGUUGUCUAAAACAUAGAAAAGACACUUGUCCAAGUGCAUGUAGUCCCACUUGUCAUUUUCACCUUUUUUUCUUUUUCCUUUUCUCUUUUUCUUUUGUUUUUUUCCUGAAAUUUAAUGUGAAGCCAAAAAUAGCUAGAACAAAAACAAAAUAAAUAACAAUAAUAAAAAUAAAAUAAUAAAAUAAUAAUAAAUAAUAAUAAUAAAUGAAAACUCUAAAAUUGAAACAAAUAAAGCUAAGAUUAAAUUAAUUAAACAAAUAAAGUUAAAAAAUAAAAAUUUGGUGUCUACAGCUGUUAAUCCCCCUCCCCAACACAAACAAAAACGUCUUCAGUACUCUUUACACUCUCAAUCCCUCGGUCAACUCCUUUAUUCUUAACCCCCUUUAUUCACUUUUUAAAACCUUAGCAGCAGUGGAGGCGGCAGCCACCGUCAUCAAAGAUGCAAAUCUUAGUGAAAACCCUGACAGGGAAGACCAUCACCCUUGAGGUGGAGUCUUUCGACACCAUCGGCAAUGUCAAGGCCAAAAUCUAGGACAAUGAGGGCAUUCCCCCAGACCAGCAGCAGUUCAUCUUCACCGACAAGCAGCUGGAGGAUGGCCGCACCCUAGCCAACUACAACAUCCUCAAGGAGUCCACCCUCCACCUCAUCUGCCGCCUCCCAUAGAAUAGAAAACAAAACACAGUUCUCCACCAAUUGUCUAACGAUUGGUUAUCCUUCUGCGAUGUUGAAGGGUAAAAGUUCGCUACCAACUCUCUACAACAAAGGGUAGGUUCUCUUAUGUACAUUUUCUCUCCCUAAUUUUCCCCCAAUUUUUAUUUGCCCUAAUUUUUUUGCCAAAAAUUUCUCCGCUGGAGCCUGUGCUUCAGACCAGCUUUGUAUAUGUUAGCCAUUCUUCCCGAACUCAUUUGCCAAAACCAAUGUUAUUUGGCUCUUAAGGUUUUCGAAGAAAUUCAGGAGUAUUUUUGUAGGCCUCAAAUAUCACUGUAUGCUGAAUUGGUCUACUUUUGGGAAGCAAUGGAUUCCUUGAAGAGGUUGAACUUCUUUUCAUUAAAUUGAAAAAGGAACCUUGUUUAGAGCCUGAUAUUAAUGAUUUUAAUGCAUUGCUAGAGAUUUUAGCAAAUUUCAACCUCAUUGGGCUAGCGGUUGAGUGCUUUUACCUGAUGAAAUCUAUAGGUUGUGACCUGGAUAUUGUCAUUCAAGAUAUUAAUCAAUGUUUUACAGACAAAUGAGGAAGCAAUUUUUUUAGCUUUUUAUGACUGGAAGCCCAGAAAUAUUUUGGUCAAUCUCUGAAUUUUGAGGGGGAGAAGGAUACUUAUUGAGCUCAAACUGACUUGGUUACGCUGGCAGGAUGCAAUCUGAUAGACCUCCCAUUGCAAGUCUUUAGCAUUUUCUACCCUGUUAGGAAAGUUCUUUCACUUUUUUUUAGCAGUUAGAAGCUAUUUAAAUAUUUGUAGCCAAAUUUUUCAGUGACUUUAAAAUCUUACUUAUGGAGACAAGUGCAAUGGUUAUGCUUUGCAGCUAAAAAAAUGAUUUAAUUGGUGAUGCAAUCAACAAAUUAUUUGUUUGAGUCAAAAGCUUAAAAGUUUGUUAUGUUAGUGGAUCUUCAAGAUUGGCUUGGGGAAACUGAAAAGAAGAAGAGAUGAAAUUAAAAUAUGUAAGACCCAAUUCAUGCUGAAGUAUCCAACUUUCACUUAUCAUACCAAACUAAGAAUCACUCUCCUUUGCCCAAUAUAUCAUUGCAACCGAUAUAAUGCUAUUGUUUUGAGUUAUGAUUAGUCUCUAUGAUUAGGUAGCUUAUGUUAUUUUGGUGUUAACCAUUACAAGUUUGGAGCAAAAUUAUGCUUAGUCUCUAUGGUUGGGUAGCUUAUGUCAUUUCAGUGUUAACCAUUACAGGUUUGGAGCAAAAUUAUGACUUCAUCAAUCAGAUUCCAUUUAGACAAAGACGCUCCGGUUUCCUCUAUUAGUUAUAAUUUGUUGAUUCUUUAUCAUUAGGUAAGAUAGGACAUCUGAAAUCAUGUUAUUUUAUUAAUCAUUUGCAAAAUUUCUAGGAUAGCAAAGUACUUGCUAACAAUAACUACUGAGGCCUCUGAUGUUCAUAGGCCUUCAUGACUAUCUCAACAUUUCUUUUUCUUCUUUUGUAAACUUUUGUUUAAAUACAUUAACACGUUUUAUGUGGCUAAAUUGCAGGUUUUUCAAGUUGUACUUUAGAACUAUUUUGGAAGGAGCAAGAUGAUUAUCUAUUUCUCAUGAGUUAAGUGCUCCACUUGGUAUCAAUUUGUAAUAAAAUUUCAUCAAGUUUAAUUUUUUGGGUCAAAAUUUAUUCUGUAAUUUGUGUGGCUAAAUUGCAAGUUUUUUAAGUUGUACUUUGGAGCUUGUUUUGGAAGAGCAGGGUGAUUAUCUAGUCGCAUGAAUUGGGUGCUCCACUUGGUAUCAUUCUUAAAUAAAGUUCAUCAUGUUUUAAUUUUUUUUGUUCAAAAUAUAGCCUAUAAUGGCUAAAAGUAUUAUUUUUGUGAUUAGAGAAGUGGAACAUGGUAAUUGGAACCAAAGAUAGGACUCAUUUUUUGGUUAGAGUUGACAUGCUAUUUAGAUGCAUUUAAACCAAAAUAGCGUGAAUUAAUGCCAUGCAAAAAUUAGUUAAUUUCUCCUAGAAUUGAUGGAUUUGUUAUUAUUUCUAGCAAUUGAGCUCUGGACAUAGGCUCAGGAUAUCUACUAGGAUAUUGUUGGUCUUUCAAUCAGGCUGUACUUCUCGUUUUUGGGUAUCUUUAAGCAUGUUUUUGAGGUUGUUCUAUGUGAGGGCCCGUACU
Molecule: long non-coding RNA, 3580 nt
Filed under: Coffea arabica (coffee)
Lineage: Eukaryota; Viridiplantae; Streptophyta; Magnoliopsida; Gentianales; Rubiaceae
Description: long non-coding RNA (CARA_LNC000185)
Source: RNAcentral